GCAUCGGUGGCUUAGGAGUGAAGCACUUGACUUGCAAUCUGCAGGUCCUGGGUUCGAAUCCCGUCCCAAUGUG
This is a non-coding RNA of Papilio xuthus (Asian swallowtail), 73 nucleotides long. The record is from Rfam. Lineage: Eukaryota; Metazoa; Arthropoda; Insecta; Lepidoptera; Papilionidae.